UACGAAGGGUGCAAGCGUUACUCGGAAUUACUGGGCGUAAAGCGUGCGUAGGUGGUUCGUUAAGUCAGAUGUGAAAGCCCCGGGCUCAACCUGGGAAUUGCAUUUGAUACUGGCGGGCUAGAGUGCGGUAGAGGAGAGUGGAAUUCCCGGUGUAGCAGUGAAAUGCGUAGAGAUCGGGAGGAACAUCAGUUGCGAAGGCGGCUCUCUGGACCAGCACUGACACUGAGGCACGAAAGCGUGGGGAGCAAACAGG
RNAcentral lists this ribosomal RNA (253 nucleotides) under uncultured bacterium. RNAcentral's name for it is "partial 16S ribosomal RNA". It matches the Rfam family "Bacterial small subunit ribosomal RNA", at positions 524 to 776 of the family's 1533-position model. The record is from RNAcentral.